Molecule: non-coding RNA, 611 nt
Organism: Podarcis muralis (Common wall lizard)
Lineage: Eukaryota; Metazoa; Chordata; Lepidosauria; Squamata; Lacertidae
Source: RefSeq, a predicted model, not a curated record
CACUCAUUUCCCCCAGUCUUAAAUUGAGUUAUCCAGAUUUUCACAUCUUAUUAAAAAAACAAAUAAACACUGAAGGUAAAAUCUCCAGUUGCCCCAUCUAUCAUCGGAGGGGGAGCUGAGGGGAGAUGGUUUCCACACCUUGCCUUGGAGUGUCUAUAAGGAAGGGAAUUGUUCUGUCCUUCCAGGGAUCAGUGAGCUUUGACAAGUGUCCUUGCAUUUCGCUGACGACAACUGGGCCCUACGGAGAGCUCUGUACAAGGACGUCAUGGUGGAGGUUCAUGAGAUGGUGGCCUCUCAGGGAGAUGUUUGGGGGUCCUGGAUGAGGAGGAGCCAUCAGAAGUCUGGCCAGAAAGAGGUGAGGAGCAAGAGAAGGAAAGGAAGUUGGGGGUUCAAGAUGGAGCCAACAAACAAGAGGGGAGAGAAACAGUGAAGCCAAGGGAUGAACACAGUGUUUCCCAAGAAGAUGAAAAUCAGAUUAACAGGGUGGAGAAAAAACAUGAAUGUACUGUGUGCGGAAAGAGAUUCUGUAGUCGCUCAGCCCUUGCUAGACAUCAAAGCGUACACUCAGGUGAAAAACCUUAUGAAUGCAUGGAGUGUGGAAAGAGAUUCAG